This 484-nucleotide ribosomal RNA is filed under the name uncultured bacterium. RNAcentral describes it as "partial 16S ribosomal RNA". It matches the Rfam family "Bacterial small subunit ribosomal RNA", at positions 28 to 523 of the family's 1533-position model. The record is from RNAcentral.
GACGAACGCUGGCGGCGUGCUUAACACAUGCAAGUCGAACGAUGAAGCCGGAGCUUGCUCUGGUGAAUUAGUGGCGAACGGGUGAGUAACACGUGAGUAACCUGCCCUUGACUCUGGGAUAACUGCUAGAAAUGGUAGCUAAUACCGGAUACGACCCUCGGAGGCAUCUCCAGGGGGUGGAAAGAAUUUCGGUCAAGGAUGGACUCGCGGCCUAUCAGCUAGUUGGUGAGGUAAUGGCUCACCAAGGCGACGACGGGUAGCCGGCCUGAGAGGGUGACCGGCCAGACUGGGACUGAGACACGGUCCAGACUCCUACGGGAGGCAGCAGUGGGGAAUAUUGCACAAUGGGCGCAAGCCUGAUGCAGCAACGCCGCGUGAGGGAUGACGGCCUUCGGGUUGUAAACCUCUUUUAGUAGGGAAGAAGCGAAAGUGACGGUACCUGCAGAAAAAGCACCGGCUAACUACGUGCCAGCCGCCGCCGUAA